Molecule: ribosomal RNA, 348 nt
Filed under: uncultured bacterium
Lineage: Bacteria
Description: bacterial SSU rRNA
Rfam family: Bacterial small subunit ribosomal RNA
Source: RNAcentral
AACGAACGCUGGCGGCAUGCCUAACACAUGCAAGUCGAACGAGACCUUCGGGUCUAGUGGCGCACGGGUGCGUAACACGUGGGAAUUUGCCUCGGGGUAUGGAAUAACUCAGGGAAACUUGAGCUAAUACCAUAUAAUGUCUUCGGACCAAAGAUUUAUCGCCCUGAGAUAAGCCCGCGUAGGAUUAGCUAGUUGGUGGGGUAAAGGCUCACCAAGGCGACGAUCCUUAGCUGGUCUGAGAGGAUGAUCAGCCACACUGGGACUGAGACACGGCCCAGACUCCUACGGGGAGGCAGCAGUGGGGAAUAUUUGGACAAUGGGCGGAAAGCCUGAUCCAGCAAUGCCGGC